RNAcentral lists this ribosomal RNA (439 nucleotides) under uncultured bacterium. RNAcentral describes it as "partial 16S ribosomal RNA". It matches the Rfam family "Bacterial small subunit ribosomal RNA", at positions 339 to 795 of the family's 1533-position model. The record is from RNAcentral.
CUACGGGACGCUCCAGUGGGGAAUAUUGCACAAUGGGCGCAAGCCUGAUGCAGCAACGCCGCGUGAACGAAGAAGGUCUUCGGAUCGUAAAGUUCUUUUCUUAGGGAAGAAAAAUGACGGUACCUAAGGAAUAAGCACCGGCUAAAUACGUGCCAGCAGCCGCGGUAAUACGUAUGGUGCAAGCGUUAUCCGGAAUCACUGGGCGUAAAGGGAGCGUAGGCGGUUUUGCAAGUCAGAAGUGAAAGGCUACGGCUCAACCGUGGUAAGCUUUUGAAACUGCAAGACUAGAGUGCAGGAGAGGCAAGUGGAAUUCCUAGUGUAGAGGUGAAAUUCGUAGAUAUUAGGAGGAACACCAGUGGCGAAGGCGACUUGCUGGACUGUAACUGACGCUGAGGCUCGAAAGCGUGGGGAGCGAACAGGAUUAGAUACCCUGGUAGUC